Molecule: ribosomal RNA, 312 nt
Filed under: Staphylococcus pseudintermedius
Lineage: Bacteria; Bacillati; Bacillota; Bacilli; Caryophanales; Staphylococcaceae
Description: bacterial SSU rRNA
Rfam family: Bacterial small subunit ribosomal RNA
Source: RNAcentral
UUUAUGGAGAGUUUGAUCCUGGCUCAGGAUGAACGCUGGCGGCGUGCCUAAUACAUGCAAGUCGAGCGAACAGAUAAGGAGCUUGCUCCUUUGACGUUAGCGGCGGACGGGUGAGUAACACGUGGGUAACCUACCUAUAAGACUGGAAUAACUCCGGGAAACCGGGGCUAAUGCCGGAUAACAUGUUGAACCGCAUGGUUCUACAGUGAAAGACGGUCUUGCUGUCACUUAUAGAUGGACCCGCGCCGUAUUAGCUAGUUGGUGGGGUAACGGCCUACCAAGGCGACGAUACGUAGCCGACCUGAGAGGGUG